CUUGGCGGCAAUAGCGAGACGGACCCACGCCUUCCCAUUCCGAACAGGACCGUGAAACGCCUCUGCGCCGAUGAUAGUGCGGAUUCCCGUGUGAAAGUAGGUCACCGCCAGGC
RNAcentral lists this ribosomal RNA (113 nucleotides) under Parachitinimonas caeni. Lineage: Bacteria; Pseudomonadati; Pseudomonadota; Betaproteobacteria; Neisseriales; Chitinibacteraceae. The record is from RNAcentral.